AGCGGGAGGAAAAUCGGAGAGAAUGAGUGGUGGCUAAUAAGCAGGGAAAAGAGUAGAAAAGUUGAUUUUGAAGUUGAAAAACGUAACUUACCUGGUUGGGAACUGACGGGGAUUUUAUGAGAACUAUGCCACACCGGUUUUAGUCAGUUUUUUGGUGUUGAAGGUCGGUCGGAGCGAGGAUUGGUCUGCAGUGUGCAGGCGUGCACGUGCAUAGACGGGAUUCAAGAUGGCGAGCCAGACCCAGACCUUCAAUUCAUCUUCUCCAUCGCACCAGUGAGGAAAUCCCCUGUGUAUGGUGACUCGCUUCCAGAGUGAACCUACAACUGGUCCAGUGGCCCAGUAAGUGGUGCGAUACCGGUGCUACAACAGCCCUCUUCAGAUCACCCCACAGAUGUUCAAUUGGAUUCAGGUGUCUGUGUUCCCAAGGAAUUUCGGGGGAGACCAGAUAUGCAUUAUUGCUUUAAAGAAAAAAAACCCCAGAUGGAGGAUUCACAGAAUCAGGAGCUAACAAGCGUGAAGGGAAUUUUAAGUUGAGUUGGAAUUUUGCAACCAUUUAUACGCCACUCAGAUUUUUAAGUAAUUCUGUACUUGUGUAUGUGCCUCUGUUCCCAGAUAUGGAUGUCGUACACCACAUGAAUGUGCACUAGAUUACCUCAAAACUGUUUACCAUGGUGCAUGGGGCUUUAUUACACAAUAAUCUUAUAAUUAUUAUAAACUGUAUGAAACCCAACCAGAAACCCAAGACAGAAUUUCCCUCUUUGUCUCUUCUCUCUACCAGUCUAUCUGUCUGUCUGUCUGUCAGUCUCCUCUCUCUCGCUUCAGAGAAAUUUAAAGGUGUGGCAUUUGGUGGGGCAUUUGGUGCGUUCCGGGGCUAGUAUGUGUGGGAAGAUUACAAAGAGGCGCUUUGUGAGAGGAUGCAGCUGCUGAAAUCCGACUAGAUCCAGCUGAAGAGAGAAUGGAGCAGGAAAUAAACCUAUGUGAAACCUACAGUCGGGAAACUAUACGACGAAGUAAUCGUGAUCACAUACCGACAAUAUGAGCGCGACAACUAACUCUGCGAGCUACGACAACUUCAAUGUGUUUUAUUUGGACGUGGCUCGGGUACCCACCAUUUCCCAAGAGGCUUCGUGGUCAUCAACACACUGAUGAGCUCCUAGCAAGGCAGCUCCUAGCAAGAUGGUGAACAGAACGACUGAAGUUGGGGAGAGAAAAUGCAGCACCAUUCAUCUACGUGUUUACCUCUCUGGAGAAGACAAUGGAUGUUACAGUUUUAAGAGCUGUCAGGAAUACUUAUUCUUUACCACCACAGUGCUCUAAGCCUGCUUCUCGAUUUAGAUUUAUUAUAGAAGAGCUCUGCUUCUGAGUUACAUUUCACCCUUUGAUAGGUGGGGUUAGCGACGGGGGUCUGUGGGGUACUGGGUGUUGUAACGUAUAUGGACAAUUAUUUGAAUGUGUGAAACUCGCGUCUCUAAAACUGCAUAAAGCGCUGUGCACUUUGAGUAACUAAAUUUGCACAAGAGGUUGGCUUCUCAUAAAAGUGAAACAAUAAAUGGGGCAAGGGAAUUACAAUAAUAUGUCAAUAUUACAGAACAUUUUAGGCAACAGUAGAUGGCUAUGCAUUACUUCAGUGAUCAUAUUUUUGGAUUAUUAAAUAAGAUUGUGCUCUGUGUUAUCGGGCCAUCUUUAUGUUGUAUUAGAAAGAUCAAUGUUUCCCAAUUUAUUGUGAAAUAAUCAUUUUAGUGACAUAUGAGCAGCAUCCCGGGAAUUUACCUGGUCUAUAGGACCAUAUAAGAUACAUGUAUGUUUUAAAUGAAUCAGAUUAUGUAUGAACUAACCUUGUUGUCUUGAAAGCGUCGGAUGGAUCAGGGUCUUGAUCUGGGCCAAGAAAAGAGCAACUGUAAGACGUCUAUUUGUACAUUGACACAGAUACUGAGAGUAGUAUGGUUAUCAUGCUAGUAUACGCCAGGGAAUGUCAGUAAAGAUGUCAGCUUGUCAGCAGGCCCUCUACUGCAGUGUUGACAAGAACUCUCCGAUUGCAAUUCAGAGAAUGUUAUGAAGUAGGUUUACAAAGGGUUAUCACAGAAUCAGGAAUGACCUAUGAUGUUUAUAAUGAAUCAUGAAUGACCUAUGAUGUAUAUAAUGAUUUUUAGACCUGUAUACAGUCUCUACAUGUAAGCUACAUGUUAAAAAUGUAUAUUAUG
Long non-coding RNA from Esox lucius (northern pike), 2201 nucleotides. The record is from Ensembl. NCBI's taxonomy places the organism in Eukaryota, Metazoa, Chordata, Actinopteri, Esociformes, Esocidae.